GCAGUUCCCGUUAUAAUCACCGAAGUUAAACAACAUCAAGCCUGGCCAGUACCUAGAUGGGUGACCGCUUGAGAAUAUCAGGAGCCGUAAG
Molecule: non-coding RNA, 91 nt
Organism: Acanthosepion pharaonis
Lineage: Eukaryota; Metazoa; Mollusca; Cephalopoda; Sepiida; Sepiidae
Source: the annotation of a GenBank genome assembly